This 263-nucleotide ribosomal RNA is filed under the name uncultured bacterium. RNAcentral's name for it is "partial 16S ribosomal RNA". The record is from RNAcentral.
CUGCUGCCUCCCGUAGGAGUCUGGUCCGUGUCUCAGUACCAGUGUGGGGGACCUUCCUCUCAGAACCCCUACGCAUCGUCGCCACGGUGGGCCGUUACCCCGCCGUCUAGCUAAUGCGCCGCAUGCCCAUCCUCUUCCGAUGAAUCUUUCCUCGAUCUCGGAUGCCCGAAACCGAUAUACGCGGGAUUAGCCUCCCUUUCGGAAGGUUGUCCCCUGAAGAGGGCAGGUUGCAUACGUGUUACUCACCGUGCGCCGGUCGCCGG